GACGAACGCUGGCGGCGUGCUUAACACAUGCAAGUCGAACGGAAAGGCCCUGCUUUUGUGGGGUGCUCGAGUGGCGAACGGGUGAGUAACACGUGAGUAACCUGCCCUUGACUUUGGGAUAACUUCAGGAAACUGGGGCUAAUACCGGAUAGGAGCUCCUGCUGCAUGGUGGGGGUUGGAAAGUUUCGGCGGUUGGGGAUGGACUCGCGGCUUAUCAGCUUGUUGGUGGGGUAGUGGCUUACCAAGGCUUUGACGGGUAGCCGGCCUGAGAGGGUGACCGGCCACAUUGGGACUGCGAUACGGCCCGGACUCCUACGGGAGGCAGCAGUGGGGAAUAUUGCACAAUGGGCGGAAGCCUGAUGCAGCAACGCCGCGUGCGGGAUGACGGCCUUCGGGUUGUAACCCGCUUUCGCCUGUGACGAAGCGUGAGUGACGGUAAUGGGUAAAGAAGCACCGGCUAACUACGUG
RNAcentral lists this ribosomal RNA (468 nucleotides) under uncultured bacterium. Its description in RNAcentral is "partial 16S ribosomal RNA". It matches the Rfam family "Bacterial small subunit ribosomal RNA", at positions 28 to 507 of the family's 1533-position model. The record is from RNAcentral.